AUGCAGUCGAACGGUGAAGAGAGGCUUGGUUCUCUGGAGAGCGGCGGACGGGGGAGUAAUGCCUAGGAAUCUGCCGGCCCGUGGGGGAUAACGUCCGGAAACGGACGCUAAUACCACUGACUUCCUACCGGAGAAAGCAGGGGACCUUCGGGCCUUGCUUUAUCAUAUGAGCCUAGGUCGUAUUAGCUACUUGGUGACGUAGAGGGUCACCAAGGCGACGAUCCGUAAGUGGUCUGAGAGGAUGAUCAGACACACUGGAACUGAGACACGGUCCAGACCCCAACCCUAGGCAGCAGUGGGGAAGAUAGUACAAUGGGCGAGCCCCUGAUCCGAUGCUGCCGCGUGUGUGAGGAGGUCUUCGCAUUGUGUUGCACUUUUCUUUGUGAGGAAAGAACUUACCUAACACGUGAGUGUUUUGACGCUCCCGAAACAAUAAUGCACGGCUACCUCUGUGCCAGCAGCCGCGGUAAUACAGACGGAGUAAGGGUUCUUCGGAAUUACUGAGCGUAAUUCGCGCGUCGGUGGUUAGUUCCGGUGGAUCUGAAUUCCCCCGGCUCUGCCUGCGAGCUGCCUCCAAUACUGGCCAGCUAAAUUAAGGUCUAGGGUGGUGGAAUUACCUGUCUAAUGGCAAGAUGAAUAUAUAUACGAAAGAACAAUAGUUGAGAAAGAGAUCACCUUGACUGAGAUUGAGACUGACGUGCAAAAUCGUGAGAAACACUCAUGGAUCAGAUACCCUGCUAUUCCGACCAUAUACGAUGUCAAUUCCGCGUAUGCAGUCGUUGAGCUUAUACUAGUCAGCAUUCUCACGCAUUGCGAUGACGUCUG
RNAcentral lists this ribosomal RNA (825 nucleotides) under Pseudomonas sp. RNAcentral describes it as "bacterial SSU rRNA". It matches the Rfam family "Bacterial small subunit ribosomal RNA", at positions 55 to 873 of the family's 1533-position model. The record is from RNAcentral. Lineage: Bacteria; Pseudomonadati; Pseudomonadota; Gammaproteobacteria; Pseudomonadales; Pseudomonadaceae.